Pelobates cultripes (western spadefoot toad) is the source of this 822-nucleotide non-coding RNA. Lineage: Eukaryota; Metazoa; Chordata; Amphibia; Anura; Pelobatidae. The record is from the annotation of a GenBank genome assembly.
GUGGCAGUACCCUUUACCCCGGUGUUACUCUGGUGGCGGCGCCUUGCUUGGCGCUGUUUGAGUCUGGGGACGGCUGGUCAGGGGUUUUGUGUCCGGGUAUUCCCGAUGUGGUGGCCGAUGCUCUGUCUUGGUCAUUAUAGGGCGUACUUCGGGCAGAGGUGUCGCGGGGUCGAUGUUAGGGCAGUGGAGGUGGUCGCUUGGUCCAACGGUCCGAUGAAGCUGGUCUGUGGGUCGACCUAUGAGGCGGCAUGAGGCCCGCUCCGGUAUGGUGGGAGUGAUCAGGACAGAUGGGAACGUCUCCUUGGGGGGUUCCGGGAGUGGACUGCUCAUCUACAUGUUUGGUCCCGUCUGUAAAGGGCGCUGGGGGUGAUUUCUGCGAUUGGCAGGGCUCGGCUUCCUGUUCAUGUUACGGUCAUCGGCAAGUGGUGGGGUGUUUUGGUGGACGGACUUACUUCAGGUUUCGCCGCUCGACGGCUGUUGUCGUUGGGUCGGGUAAGUCAGUUGCGGUGUGGCUGAUUCGUCGAUGGAAUCUGUGCAAUUCUUAGAUGUUGCGGGGUUGACAUGCCCUGGCUUUUCCGCAUUCGACUAAGGUAGAUGGAAUGCACAGGGUAAUGGUUGGCUCCUAACACGAUGUAAGGGGUUCCCAGGAUAGUCGGACAAAUUCCGUUCCGAUCGGGGGCGGUGCAGGUUUCCGUCAUUUGCCUGAAGGAUGGUAGGGAGUUCAAGGGGCAUUUAUGCUGGUUUGGGACGGCUAUGGUGCCGCCAGGCUUGGCGUGCCUGCGCCAAUGGUUCAGGGGCUCGAAUGGUAGGAGUCAGGGUGGU